RNAcentral lists this ribosomal RNA (253 nucleotides) under uncultured bacterium. Its description in RNAcentral is "partial 16S ribosomal RNA". It matches the Rfam family "Bacterial small subunit ribosomal RNA", at positions 524 to 776 of the family's 1533-position model. The record is from RNAcentral.
UACGGGGGGGGCAAGCGUUGUUCGGAAUUACUGGGCGUAAAGGGCUCGUAGGCGGCCAACUAAGUCAGACGUGAAAUCCCUCGGCUUAACCGGGGAACUGCGUCUGAUACUGGAUGGCUUGAGUUUGGGAGAGGGAUGCGGAAUUCCAGGUGUAGCGGUGAAAUGCGUAGAUAUCUGGAGGAACACCGGUGGCGAAGGCGGCAUCCUGGACCGAUACUGACGCUGAGGGGCGAAAGCCAGGGGAGCAAACGGG